ACGGCCUACGGGGGGCAGCAGUGGGGAAUAUUGCACAAUGGGGGAAACCCUGAUGCAGCGACGCCGCGUGAGUGAAGAAGUAUCUCGGUAUGUAAAGCUCUAUCAGCAGGAAAGAUAAUGACGGUACCUGACUAAGAAGCCCCGGCUAACUACGUGCCAGCAGCCGCGGUAAUACGUAGGGGGCAAGCGUUAUCCGGAUUUACUGGGUGUAAAGGGAGCGUAGACGGCGCGGCAAGUCUGAAGUGAA
RNAcentral lists this ribosomal RNA (247 nucleotides) under uncultured bacterium. RNAcentral describes it as "partial 16S ribosomal RNA". It matches the Rfam family "Bacterial small subunit ribosomal RNA", at positions 335 to 598 of the family's 1533-position model. The record is from RNAcentral.